RNAcentral lists this ribosomal RNA (254 nucleotides) under uncultured bacterium. Its description in RNAcentral is "partial 16S ribosomal RNA". It matches the Rfam family "Bacterial small subunit ribosomal RNA", at positions 524 to 776 of the family's 1533-position model. The record is from RNAcentral.
CACGUAGGGUGCGAGCGUUGUCCGGAAUUAUUGGGCGUAAAGAGCUCGUAGGCGGUGUGUCGCGUCGGCCGUGAAAACCUGCAGCUUAACUGUGGGCUUGCGGUCGAUACGGGCAUCACUGGAGUUCGGCAGGGGAGACUGGAAUUCCUGGUGUAGCGGUGAAAUGCGCAGAUAUCAGGAGGAACACCGGUGGCGAAGGCGGGUCUCUGGGCCGAGACUGACGCUGAGGAGCGAAAGCGUGGGGAGCGAACAGG